Molecule: ribosomal RNA, 253 nt
Filed under: uncultured bacterium
Lineage: Bacteria
Description: partial 16S ribosomal RNA
Rfam family: Bacterial small subunit ribosomal RNA
Source: RNAcentral
UACGAAGGGUACAAGCGUUAAUCGGAAUUACUGGGCGUAAAGCGUGCGCAGGCGGCUUUGCAAGACAGAUGUGAAAUCCCCGGGCUCAACCUGGGAACUGCAUUUGUGACUGCAAAGCUGGAGUGCGGCAGAGGGGGAUGGAAUUCCGCGUGUAGCAGUGAAAUGCGUAGAUAUGCGGAGGAACACCGAUGGCGAAGGCAAUCCCCUGGGCCUGCACUGACGCUCAUGCACGAAAGCGUGGGGAGCAAACAGG